This 76-nucleotide transfer RNA is filed under the name Salmonella enterica. RNAcentral describes it as "tRNA-Phe". It matches the Rfam family "tRNA". From Rfam's summary of the family: Transfer RNA (tRNA) molecules are approximately 80 nucleotides in length. Their secondary structure includes four short double-helical elements and three loops (D, anti-codon, and T loops). Lineage: Bacteria; Pseudomonadati; Pseudomonadota; Gammaproteobacteria; Enterobacterales; Enterobacteriaceae. The record is from RNAcentral.
GCCCGGAUAGCUCAGUCGGUAGAGCAGGGGAUUGAAAAUCCCCGUGUCCUUGGUUCGAUUCCGAAUCCGGGCACCA